This 206-nucleotide unclassified non-coding RNA is filed under the name Hevea brasiliensis (rubber tree). The record is from RNAcentral. Lineage: Eukaryota; Viridiplantae; Streptophyta; Magnoliopsida; Malpighiales; Euphorbiaceae.
AGUAGAAAGGUAGGAGUUGUAUAGCACUAUGAAAUCCAAAACCAUUAUAUGAAAUGAAUUUGAAAAAUAAAUGGAACUAUUUUUUUGGAGAGGUGGAAGGAGCAUAAAUUUCCAGAGAAUGUGACUGUACCUUAUAACAUCUUAUUUGCUUUAAGUUAUGUGUAACUGAAGGCACAAGUACUGUGAAGGCUUGGUGUCUCAUAGAU